RNAcentral lists this transfer RNA (74 nucleotides) under Fibrobacter sp. RNAcentral describes it as "tRNA-Arg". It matches the Rfam family "tRNA". From Rfam's summary of the family: Transfer RNA (tRNA) molecules are approximately 80 nucleotides in length. Their secondary structure includes four short double-helical elements and three loops (D, anti-codon, and T loops). Further hydrogen bonds mediate the characteristic L-shaped molecular structure. tRNAs have two regions of fundamental functional importance: the anti-codon, which is responsible for specific mRNA codon recognition, and the 3' end, to which the tRNAs corresponding amino acid is attached (by aminoacyl-tRNA synthetases). tRNAs cope with the degeneracy of the genetic code in two manners: having more than one tRNA (with a specific anti-codon) for a particular amino acid; and 'wobble' base-pairing, i.e. permitting non-standard base-pairing at the 3rd anti-codon position. The record is from RNAcentral. Lineage: Bacteria; Pseudomonadati; Fibrobacterota; Fibrobacteria; Fibrobacterales; Fibrobacteraceae.
GCCGCCAUAGCUCAGCUGGAUAGAGCAACUGCCUUCUAAGCAGUAGGUCGUGCGUUCGAACCGCGCUGGCGGUA